This 227-nucleotide long non-coding RNA is filed under the name Daucus carota (carrot). RNAcentral describes it as "long non-coding RNA (DCAR_LNC002886)". The record is from RNAcentral. Lineage: Eukaryota; Viridiplantae; Streptophyta; Magnoliopsida; Apiales; Apiaceae.
GCUGAACUAGGUGAUUGAAACUUUAAUAGUGAAAGAUGAUGCAUCGUAUCACUCAAUUAGACUUUAUUUUAUCAUGAAGAGCAUAAAUUAUUUGAAGUCAUUGAUUCCAUACUGAUGAUUUAAUGAAUUUCUAGAAUUCUAAUUACGAUUUUUCCUGAUUUUAAUAUUAUAUCACCUCAUUUUAUGUUAUUAUUGCUAUAUACAAAGAUAUAAACAUACAUCAUAUU